This 3431-nucleotide long non-coding RNA is filed under the name Nicotiana tabacum (common tobacco). RNAcentral's name for it is "long non-coding RNA (NTAB_LNC014431)". Lineage: Eukaryota; Viridiplantae; Streptophyta; Magnoliopsida; Solanales; Solanaceae. The record is from RNAcentral.
GAACUAACGACAUCUCCAGAAAAGUAACGCUCCAGAACAUCUGUUCUCUCUCUCUCUCUUUGCUCUCAAGUUUGUACUGCAAUGUGUUUUCUUCCGUCAAUCGUAUUUUCUGGUGGGUAUCCCUUCUACCAUCUCUUGAUUCGUCUUUAUCUGUAUCUCUUGAUUCAUGUUUAUCUAUAUUUGUCUUGAGAAAUAUUUGAGAAAAUUCUUGAACGAAUACCAUUUCUAUUGAAGUUCUCUAGGUGUUUGAGAAAAUUCUUCAAUGAAUUACCCUAAUUUCUUAUGCAUAUUUCUGUUUUCUCUAUUAUUUAUGUGUUUGAAAAAAUACUUGAACAACCAAACUUAUCAGUUGAGUUAGCAAGGACGAGGUGACCGCUUCAAUUACUAACUAUUUGCUAUGUUUUUCUUCUCACUUCUACUAUGUUUUUUGUUGGUCGUAUAUAUCAUCAAAUACCUUUGUUUCUUUGUUCGAUCUCUGACCUCUUCAUUUGUUAUCUUUGUUCUCUGUCAAUUAAUUUUCCAAUUAUUAGCUUAUGCGCUUCUUGUUUUCUCAGUUGUGCGCUGAGGUUGUUUCAAUUGCUUUCUGUCGGUUUAUUUGGCGAUAACUGGGGUAUUUGGGGCUUUGACAUAUUUCUCAGAUGCUGACGACCUGUAUGUAUUUGAGACGGAUUCUUUUGCUAUUUCCAUAAUGCAUAGACUGUUUUGGCAUAUUUUUUUAUAAUUAAUUUUUGCCUCUAUAAACUAUCAACUUGGUGGUUAAAUAAAACUAGCUUUUCGAUUUAUUGACAGUAAAAAAUCAACUUAAGAUGACCUUAGAGAUGCACUUUGCUGGGAUUGUCUAUAGUACAAUCGGUAGGAUGUUAACCUAGAAGCGUGUUAAAAGAUUACAUUUCCUCUGCGCUUGGGAUAAUUAGAUUCAAAGAGCUAUUUAUAUGAACUCACUAUUAGAUUGAAAUAAUUACUGAUCCAAUCAGUUCGGAAUUGAGUAGUUGAUUGCUUGAUUUGUAUUGAAGGUAUGUCAAAGAGAUGCUAUAAAAUCUGAUGAGUUUUACUCCUCAAAAUUUUACAAUUGGCUGGACAAUUUCCAGAUCUUCUUUAACCUCUUCAUCAUUUUCUUGCAACUAUUAUGAAUGUACUAAUAAUUGACAUCAUAUAUAUUUGAUAGAAACUAAGUGAUCCUGUUUAUAAAAAAUAGAUCUUUCACUGUUGUUUUUGUUUGUUGAUUCGAUUCUACCUUUCUGAAUUCAUUUUUUCCUGUUAAAAUAAAACUCCUUUUUAUCGACCACUCCUUUCUUGUUUUAUAGUUAUACUUUUACCACAAAUUUCCACGGCUACUUGUAUUGUUUUCUGUUGUGUCUUACAGUUAAAUAAGUCCUUCUCUGUUGCCUCGAAAAGUAUAGCAGUGGUAGCAUAUAUGACACUCCAAAAAGGUGCUUUUACUAGCAAAUCAGGCAAAGGAAUUGGACUAAGCACAUGUUUUCUGUUGCAGUCAUUUCCACUCUUCACCGUGCGUUCCUAUGCCAUUUCUUUUCUGAAAUCAUGUGGAGAAGAGUCUCCUAAAUAUGACACUUCCACUUUUGCAAAUGAGCUAAGGGACAUUGAGCAACUUGUGCUACUGAUUAUUUUUGUUUGCUCUUUUUCUACUUAGUUUAACAUCUAUUGCUAUCCUUUCUGUUGGCAUAACUUUAAUGUUUACAGAUUCAAAUGCUUAGUCAAUAUUAGAAGAAUUUGUAGCAAACACUUUGUACUUUCUCCUAUUGUGGCAGUGUUAUUUUGGCAAUUGUGAAAUUCAAGAGUUGAAGCUAUUAAGGUAGAUAAGGAAUGUUGAUUUAGAUUAUUUGAAGAAUGCAAAGUUCAAGUUGAGCUUGUAGCUUGAGACAGGUUAAGGCUUUCAUAUGUUCUAUAAAAUAUUUUUUUUGCUAAUUUAACAUUCAGUUAUAUUUAAUAUAGUCUUAAAUGAGAAUGUGAUAGUAGUACUAAGUACUAAAUGUGAUUUUUUGUUGCCAGAAGUAGUUGUGUAAUAUUCUUUCUAGUCAUAAGCAAUUACAUUUUUUUAUGCUCAUAUUCAGUUUAAACUCAUUUACCAACGUGAUCAAUUCAGUUUUACUCAGUAUCUACCUUACUACUUUCUUCAUCCUUAGUUUUUCUAUUUUUACAUCUGCGCUACUUACGUUGUUUUCAAAAUAGAGUGUACACCUGGUUAGUCAAUUUCUUCUUAGGCAUAAUGUUUUAACUACACAUUAAAGUGAUACUCUUCUAGAUCUUAAGAUAUGCACAUUUAGUGUUCCAGAGAGCUACUUUAAGGAGUUUUGUGCUUUAGAUUCUGUUGAUCAUAUGUAAAAGUCUUAUGUACUUGGGCUAUGUGAAUCAGAUGAGAGGAUAAAGGCUACUUAGAGUGGUUCAUUUGACUGUUGAUUUUUAUUUUAUCUUUCUUAGUUUUUUUCAUAACUAAUAUAUAACAUCUCUUAUCUUUCACCUAAAUGCAGUUGUUACAACUCUUACCAAAGAGGAUAUAAUAAGGGAUAAGGUAUGUGUCUUUGUCAGCAAGGCAUAGUGGUGUCAUCAACUUUUCCAUGUUGGUCUGGUAGAUCUUUCCAACGGACUAUAUUUUCGAUUCGGCAUAGACUAAUUGGCAUGUGUAUUGCUUGAAAAAAAUAUUUCUCUUUUUGGAUCUAUGGUAUUUUCAUUAUAUCUAAGAUCAUGCAAAAGAGCUUUCUGACAAAUUUUUAUCCUUGCAGUGCAAUUGGACUACAGUAUAGUCUCUUUGGUAUUCAUGGAAUUAUUUGACGCUUGACACAGGUUAUUUGCUAAAACUAUUUGGAGGUAUUAUACUAACCCUGCAGAACUCUUUUAUAUAACCUUUUGUCAAUAUGAUUAUUUUAGUGUUCAGCUAUGUCUAUAGUGCAAAAUACUGUUGAGCUAAUUAUGAGACUUGCAACUAAUGUGCUUCAUGAUCUACAAGUGUUUUCAUCACAACUCGAUUCCUAAAUUAUAGUUUAUUUUAUUAUUUACUGAAAUCCUGUUGUUAUAUGAUUUCCGCAUAUUAUGACAUCUUGUUCAUUAACAACCUUUCCUAUGUGUUGGAUUCACUUGCACUUAAUGUUAAGUGACUGUGUUUUAGCCUGCAAAACAGUUGUCUCUGAUAUUUACAUCAGAUAGCCAUAUUAUUCUUCUGUUCUUAUCAUUCUAUAGUUGGAACAAUAGAAGUUACUUGACUAAUCCUUGUUUUCCUAAUAUCUGGUAAUAAUUGUAGGGUUCAUUUACGCACAAUAGACAGUUGGACUGCCUAAUGUCAGCGACGCCCAGGAAGAUCAACAAACUAUUCUGCUCCUCAUGCUAACAUAAAAAGGAGAAAUAAUAGUUCAGUCCUUUUCACAAGUAGAAAAUUAUAUGUGGGCAACUUCACUUGAUAUGCAAUUCAUAUUCCUUGG